This is a long non-coding RNA of Cercocebus atys (sooty mangabey), 2128 nucleotides long. RefSeq lists it as uncharacterized. The transcript has 4 exons. Lineage: Eukaryota; Metazoa; Chordata; Mammalia; Primates; Cercopithecidae. The record is from RefSeq and is a predicted model, not a curated record.
GCGUGCGUGGCGCGGCGUCCAUAAUGGAAAGAUGGAGAAUGGCUCCCGUUCCUUCCGGACCCGCUUGAGGGCGCACUGCGGCGGCGUGGGGAUGACUUGGAGACUCGUCUCGGGGAGGAAACUGCUGCUGUCUGUGGCCCUGACUGCUUAGGUGGGAGCUGCGUGCGCUCAGCGUUUCCAGGGCACUUUUUUCUACACGGUCACUCUCACCCAAGCUGGAGCACAGUGGCACAUCACAGGACCAUGCAGAUUGGAAUAUUGGCUACCUAUAGCUUUGCAAUGCAAUUUGAUGUCAGUAAUUGUGCAGCCGUGUUGUGGGAAAGAGAAAAUGCCCUGAAUUUUGAUGGCUGAAAAGUAUUCCAUUGUGCCUGUGUCCUGAAGAUUCUUCAUCCCUUCAUCUGUGGAUGGACAGGUGCAACCGUGUGGUUCUCCACGAUAUGAUUUCAUUGUGCUUUUCUGUGUGAAGAGUAUCCCGGUGUGUACAUGUGGAGCAGCUUCUUUCUCUCUUUGUCUGUGGAUAAGCAGGUAGGUUGAUGUUUACACUGGCUCUUGGGAACAGUGCUGGAAUCCACAUGGGUGGGUAGAUCUAUCUUUGGUGUCCUGAUUUCAAUGGCUUUGAGUGUAUUUCCAGUAGUAGAAUUGCUGGUUGAAGUGGUAGUUGGAGUCUUUUAAGGUUUGGAGGAACCUCCAAGUGGUUUCUGUAGUGUGUGUACUACUUUACUUUCUCACGAACUGUGGAGAAGAGUGUCUCUUUCUCUCUCUCUCUGGAAACACACACCAGCAUUUGCCUUUCUUUCAAUGUUCUUUUGUCUUUUUUUUGUUACAAAAAAUAAGAUGGUGUCUAAGUGUGGUUUUGAUUUACAUUUUGCUUGUGGUUAGCGUUGUUUGCCAAGUUAUUGUGAACUUGUUUCAAUGUGACAUGUAAGACUGGGCAAAGGACCUGAAGACCUGAGAUGGAUGCACAGGUAAAAUAUUCUGAAUCAACUUACUGAUCCUCAUGAGAAGUCAAUCAAAACCACACUCAGAUGUCAUCUCAUUCUGGUGACAAUGAAUGUUACCAAAAUGAGAUAGUAAUUUCAUUGCGGUAGAGUAUGUGUGUAUAACCAGCGGGUACAAGGGACAUUUUGAUCUAUGUAAACGUAGCAUCAUAAUGAAGUCGCAAUGUCUGGCAUCUCUGUGAGCUCCAGACUUAUGAUUUCUCUGUGGAGAGAAUAUUCACAAGUGACCUUUGUAGCUGUUUUGAAAAUUUUGGUUUUCUGUUCUUGCCUUUUGUUCAUAAUGGCCUACAGCUCUGUCCAGGUUUCUGGUAAGGGCAUGGAUUUGUUUUUUAUGGCUGUGUAGUGUUGCGUGGUGUGUAUGUACCACAUUUCCUUUCUCUGAUCCACUGCUGAUGGGCACCAAGGCUGAUUCCGUGUCUUUACCAUUGUGAGUAGUACUGCCGUGAACACGUGAGUGCAUGCGUGUUUUGGAUGGAAGGAUUUUCCUUCGGGUAGAUCCUCAGGAGUGGGGUUGCAGCGUUGGGUGGUAGUUCUCUUUUAGGUUCUUUGAGAAAUGUCCACACUGCUCUCCAGGGGGUCUGAACUAGUUUGCAUUUCCCCCAACAGUAGACCUGCAUUUCUUUGCUCAUCUUCCCCACCAACCUCUGUUGUUGUGGACUGUGUGUCAUAAUUGCCAUUCUGACCAGUGUGAGAUGGUAUCUCAGUAUGUUUCUGAUUUGCAUUUCUCAGAUGAUCAGUGAGAUCGAGCAUGUUUUUAUUCUAAUUGGUUACUGGUACACCUCCUUUUAGUGUGUGUUCAUGUCCCUUGCCUAUUUAUGAUUUUUUUUUUUCCUGAUUUUAUUUGUUUAAGGUCUUUACGAUAAAUCCUGGAUAUUAGACGUUUUUCAGAUGCGUAGUUGGGGAGUAUGUUCCCUAAUUCUAUAGGCUGUGUGCUGACUCUGUGGUUGUUUCUUGUACAGCAGCUCUUUUGAGUAUUAGGUCCCACUGAUCAGGAAUUGCUUUUGUUGCCGUUGCUUUUGGGGGCUUGACAUAUAAAUGCUUUGCCAAAGCCUCCGUCAAGAAGGGUAUUUGCUAGAUUCUCGUGCAGGAUUUUUUCAUUUCAGGUCUUGCAUUUUUAUGUGUUUAUGUAU